ACGGAGGGUGCAAGCGUUGUUCGGAAUUACUGGGCGUAAAGCGCGCGUAGGCGGCUAUCUAAGUCAGAUGUGAAAGUCCAUGGCUCAACCAUGGAAGUGCAUUUGAAACUGGGUAGCUUGAGUAUUGGAGGGGGUAGUGGAAUUCCCGGUGUAGAGGUGAAAUUCGUAGAUAUCGGGAGGAAUACCGGUGGCGAAGGCGACUACCUGGCCAAAUACUGACGCUGAGGUGCGAAAGCGUGGGGAGCAAACAGG
Molecule: ribosomal RNA, 252 nt
Filed under: uncultured bacterium
Lineage: Bacteria
Description: partial 16S ribosomal RNA
Rfam family: Bacterial small subunit ribosomal RNA
Source: RNAcentral